AUGAUAAUAACUUACGUUGAUCAAAACGUGUUAUUAAACGGGCAUUAACUUGUUAAUUCGCCUAAGUAUUUACGAGUCCAAAUAACUAUUCCUAUGUGUGUAAAUAUAUUUAUAUAUGUGUAAAUAUAUUUAUAUAUCACACACACCCAUAUAUACGUACAUACAAAUAUUACUUCCAUAUUUUUUAGAGAAAAAUUAGAUCUCUACCACCACACACUUACACUUAGAUUAUUAUAGUCUAAGGACCAUCCCUUGUACUUUAACAUUUGAUGCCCUACUAACUCAAUCCCCAUGACUGUUUGUGUGAAUAUGACAAGACAAAUGAAUGGCACCAUGACAUGAUGCGUAAAACACUCUCCAAUAUUAUGAAUUCAAACACUCAACACACAUGCUUUCUGACAUAGUAUUGUUUACUCUAAACUUUUCUGGCCAAACUCACUCUAGACCUCAGGUUUGUGAAUAUAUUAUAAAAAAAAAAAGAAAAGAAAAGAGAAACCAUGCCUAAAAUACUUUGUACACUACAAUAACACUCAUAAGAACACUUCAACUCUCCAUCUCACUCAUCUCUCCUGGCCAAAACACACCAACACGUUCAUCUUUUUCAAUCUCUACACACAGACAUAACACAGCCAAACACCCCCCCCCCCAUCUUCUUCUCGAUCUGUUUGGUCAGGAUGACCGGAGCCGGAACCUCACCGGCCUCCCUCUUGCUUCUCAGACGACAACAACACCCACCACCUUCUGGUGGUGGCGAGUAGCGGGCGACAACAAGAUCGGAAGAGCCGACGAGAGAGAGAGAGAGAGAUUGAGGGAGAGAAGAUAGAGAGAGUUAGUGUCGGCGGCUGACCAGCGACGUAACUCCGACGGCGGCGGCGGGUGUCUCUCGACGGCAGUAGACGCCGGCGACGGUGAGAACGGCGGUGGUGAUGAAUCGCAGCUCGAGUUCUGGUACGAUGUUCGGGUUUCGCGGCACGUUCAAGUUCAGGUCAGAUUUCGAGUUGGGGAUUCAACGCGGUUCAGGUUCGGGCCUUCUCGGGAAAGAUUCAUGCUCAACAUCUGAUUUCGGUUCAACAUCAGGCUCGGGCAUCUGUUCGGAUGACGUUCGGUCAGAUCUGUUCAGGUCGGGUCGGGUUUAGCGGCACGGCCCGACUAGGGUCAACUUAAGGGCGCUUCGGGUUGGUUUGGUUU
This 1188-nucleotide long non-coding RNA is filed under the name Helianthus annuus (common sunflower). The record is from RNAcentral. Lineage: Eukaryota; Viridiplantae; Streptophyta; Magnoliopsida; Asterales; Asteraceae.